CCUACGGGAGGCAGCAGUGAGGAAUAUUGGACAAUGGGGGCAACCCUGAUCCAGUAAUUCUGUGUGCACGAAGAAGGUUUUCGGAUUGUAAAGUGCUUUCAGCAGGGAAGAAGAAAGUGACGGUACCUGCAGAAGAAGCGACGGCUAAAUACGUGCCAGCAGCCGCGGUAAUACGUAUGUCGCAAGCGUUAUCCGGAAUUAUUGGGCAUAAAGGGCAUCUAGGCGGCCAGACAAGUCUGGGGUGAAAACUUGCGGCUCAACCGCAAGCCUGCCCUGGAAACUGUUUGGCUAGAGUGCUGGAGAGGUGGACGGAACUGCACGAGUAGAGGUGAAAUUCGUAGAUAUGUGCAGGAAUGCCGAUGAUGAAGAUAGUUCACUGGACGGCAACUGACGCUGAAGUGCGAAAGCUAGGGGAGCGAACAGGAUUAGAUACCCUGGUAGUCCUAGCUGUAAACGAUGAUUACUGGGUGUGGGCAUGAAGAGUGUCCGUGCCGAAGCAAAUGCGAUAAGUAAUCCGCCUGGGGAGUACGGCCGCAAGGCUGAAACUCAAAGGAAUUGACGG
This 562-nucleotide ribosomal RNA is filed under the name uncultured bacterium. RNAcentral's name for it is "bacterial SSU rRNA". It matches the Rfam family "Bacterial small subunit ribosomal RNA", at positions 338 to 916 of the family's 1533-position model. The record is from RNAcentral.